RNAcentral lists this unclassified non-coding RNA (250 nucleotides) under Saccharina sculpera. RNAcentral describes it as "ITS1". Lineage: Eukaryota; Phaeophyceae; Laminariales; Laminariaceae. The record is from RNAcentral.
CCGAAAGCGGGUUCGUUCAAUCCCCCCCGCUCUAUAAAUUGUCUGUGAAGCCGCCGGUUUCGGCGGCCUCUGUACCCCGAGAAAGAAUUCGUUAUGCGAAGUUGGGCGAGGGGCGCCUCGCCGAGAGUGUAAAGAGCUCUCGAAUCAAAGCGCACCCCACAUUUCAACCCCAUUUAAACUCUGAAUCUGAACUCAAAGGGGUGCCUGCUGGCUCUUUCUAGAGCCGCGGCUCCCCCCAACCUUUAACGUU